This 215-nucleotide ribosomal RNA is filed under the name uncultured bacterium. RNAcentral's name for it is "partial 16S ribosomal RNA". It matches the Rfam family "Bacterial small subunit ribosomal RNA", at positions 117 to 331 of the family's 1533-position model. The record is from RNAcentral.
AUAAGCAACGUGCCCUGAAGACUGGGAUAGUCAGAGGAAACUCUGGGUAAUACUGGAUGUGGUCGUGACUCGGCAUCGAGAUACGAUUAAAUGGUUUUUCGCUUCAGGAGCGGCUUAUGGCCUAUCAGGUAGUUGGUGGGGUAAUGGCCUACCAAGCCGACGACGGGUAGCGGGUCUGAGAGGAUGAUCCGCUCGAGUGGGACUGAGACACGGCC